RNAcentral lists this ribosomal RNA (253 nucleotides) under uncultured bacterium. Its description in RNAcentral is "partial 16S ribosomal RNA". It matches the Rfam family "Bacterial small subunit ribosomal RNA", at positions 524 to 776 of the family's 1533-position model. The record is from RNAcentral.
UACGUAGGUGGCAAGCGUUGUCCGGAAUUAUUGGGCGUAAAGCGCGCGCAGGCGGUCUCUUAAGUCUGAUGUGAAAUCCCGUGGCUUAACCACGGGCGGUCAUUGGAAACUGGGGGACUUGAGUGCAGAAGAGAAGAGCGGAAUUCCAUGUGUAGCGGUGAAAUGCGUAGAGAUAUGGAGGAACACCAAUGGCGAAGGCAGCCUUCUGGGCCAACACUGACGCUCAUGCACGAAAGCGUGGGGAGCAAACAGG